Molecule: non-coding RNA, 72 nt
Organism: Heligmosomoides polygyrus
Lineage: Eukaryota; Metazoa; Nematoda; Chromadorea; Rhabditida; Heligmosomidae
Source: Rfam
GCGCUGGUGGUAUAAGGCAUAGCAUCGCUGCCCGGAAAGCAGAAGGUGCGGGUUCGAGUGCCGCCUAGCGCA